RNAcentral lists this ribosomal RNA (253 nucleotides) under uncultured bacterium. RNAcentral's name for it is "partial 16S ribosomal RNA". It matches the Rfam family "Bacterial small subunit ribosomal RNA", at positions 524 to 776 of the family's 1533-position model. The record is from RNAcentral.
UACGGGGGGGGCAAGCGUUGUUCGGAAUUACUGGGCGUAAAGGGCUCGUAGGUGGCCAACUAAGUCAGACGUGAAAUCCCUCGGCUUAACCGGGGAACUGCGUCUGAUACUGGAUGGCUUGAGUUCGGGAGAGGGAUGCGGAAUUCCAGGUGUAGCGGUGAAAUGCGUAGAUAUCGGGAGGAACACCUGUGGCGAAAGCGGCGCACUGGACCAUAACUGACGCUGAUGCGCGAAAGCUAGGGGAGCAAACAGG